Molecule: ribosomal RNA, 253 nt
Filed under: uncultured bacterium
Lineage: Bacteria
Description: partial 16S ribosomal RNA
Rfam family: Bacterial small subunit ribosomal RNA
Source: RNAcentral
UACGUAGGGUGCAAGCGUUGUCCGGAAUUAUUGGGCGUAAAGAGCUCGUAGGCGGUCUGUCGCGUCGGCUGUGAAAACCCGAGGCUCAACCUCGGGUCUGCAGUCGAUACGAGCAAACUAGAGUGUUGCAGGGGAGACUGGAAUUCCUGGUGUAGCGGUGAAAUGCGCAGAUAUCAGGAGGAACACCGGUGGCGAAGGCGGGUCUCUGGGCAACAACUGACGCUGAGGAGCGAAAGCGUGGGGAGCGAACAGG